AAUUGCGACCCCAGGUCAGGCG
RNAcentral lists this ribosomal RNA (22 nucleotides) under Erica subverticillaris. Its description in RNAcentral is "partial 28S ribosomal RNA". The record is from RNAcentral. Lineage: Eukaryota; Viridiplantae; Streptophyta; Magnoliopsida; Ericales; Ericaceae.